Molecule: non-coding RNA, 569 nt
Organism: Dermacentor andersoni
Lineage: Eukaryota; Metazoa; Arthropoda; Arachnida; Ixodida; Ixodidae
Source: RefSeq, a predicted model, not a curated record
CGAGGGCAAGAGCCGGAAACUCCUGGCUGCCGUCGAUGCGAAAGCAAGCAACGCUUGCAUGUCGCCAGACGUUGUAAGAAUGGGGGAGCCUUGGGUAAGCUUUCCAUUUAGGACGGCAUGCAGCCUGAAGGCGAUUGUGGCAGUUCUCUUGUGUACAUAUAUAUAGAACGACGCCGACGAAGCCAGUGGCAAAAGAGGCGCUCCUCUCAACGCAUGCGCUCCACAGUUUACGAUUGAAGUUCGCUAUAGUGCUGCUGCUGCUGACCACAGUCGUCAUGAAGUUCCUCCUGUACCUAAGCAUCAUCGCAGUGGGCCUUGUGUGCAUCUCAGCACAGUUCUUUGGUGGCCCAGGUCCCGUUCGCGGUGGACGCGACCGACAUAUACUGCGCUCUGAAAGGCACGCAAUCCUGCCCGGGCGCAGUGGGUACAAUGGCUAAUGGCUCAGACGAUGCAAACAGUUUGCCAUGCCGGACAGCUAGGGAAGACAUAGGAAAGUUCAUUGGCUGCCCCUGAAAGCGCCCAAUAAAUUAUUUUUGAUGCCGACACCAAGGCCGGUUGAGGUUGUCUUA